AUUGAACGCUGGCGGCAGGCCUAACACAUGCAAGUCGAGCGGAUGAAGGGAGCUUGCUCCUGGAUUCAGCGGCGGACGGGUGAGUAAUGCCUAGGAAUCUGCCUGGUAGUGGGGGAUAACGUCCGGAAACGGGCGCUAAUACCGCAUACGUCCUGAGGGAGAAAGUGGGGGAUCUUCGGACCUCACGCUAUCAGAUGAGCCUAGGUCGGAUUAGCUAGUUGGUGGGGUAAAGGCCUACCAAGGCGACGAUCCGUAACUGGUCUGAGAGGAUGAUCAGUCACACUGGAACUGAGACACGGUCCAGACUCCUACGGGAGGCAGCAGUGGGGAAUAUUGGACAAUGGGCGAAGGCUUGAUCCAGCCAUGCCGCGUGUGUGAAGAAGGUCUUCGGAUUGUAAAGCACUUUAAGUUGGGAGGAAGGGCAGUAAGUUAAUACCUUGCUGUUUUGACGUUACCAACAGAAUAAGCACCGGCUAACUUCGUG
Molecule: ribosomal RNA, 484 nt
Filed under: uncultured bacterium
Lineage: Bacteria
Description: partial 16S ribosomal RNA
Rfam family: Bacterial small subunit ribosomal RNA
Source: RNAcentral